AGAGUUUGAUCCUGGCUCAGGACGAACGCUGGCGGCGUGCCUAAUACAUGCAAGUCGAGCGGAGUUACUUUGAAAGCUUGCUUUCAAAGUAACUUAGCGGCGGACGGGUGAGUAACACGUAGGCAACCUGCCCCUUAGACUGGGAUAACUACCGGAAACGGUAGCUAAUACCGGAUAAUUUCUUUUUUCUCCUGAAGAAAGAAUGAAAGACGGAGCAAUCUGUCACUGAGGGAUGGGCCUGCGGCGCAUUAGCUAGUUGGUGGGGUAACGGCCCACCAAGGCGACGAUGCGUAGCCGACCUGAGAGGGUGAACGGCCACACUGGGACUGAGACACGGCCCAGACUCCUACGGGAGGCAGCAGUAGGGAAUCUUCCGCAAUGGACGAAAGUCUGACGGAGCAACGCCGCGUGAGUGAUGAAGGUUUUCGGAUCGUAAAGCUCUGUUGCCAGGGAAGAACGUCCGGUAGAGUAACUGCUAUCGGAGUGACGGUACCUGAGAAGAAAGCCCCGGCUAACUACGUGCCAGCAGCCGCGGUAAUACGUAGGGUGCGAGCGUUGUCCGGAUUUAUUGGGCGUAAAGGGCUCGUAGGUGGUUGAUCGCGUCGGAAGUGUAAUCUUGGGGCUUAACCCUGAGCGUGCUUUCGAUACGGGUUGACUUGAGGAAGGUAGGGGAGAAUGGAAUUCCUGGUGGAGCGGUGGAAUGCGCAGAUAUCAGGAGGAACACCAGUGGCGAAGGCGGUUCUCUGGGCCUUUCCUGACGCUGAGGAGCGAAAGCGUGGGGAGCGAACAGGCUUAGAUACCCUGGUAGUCCACGCUGUAAACGGUGGGUACUAGGUGUGGGGUCCAUUCCACGGGUUCCGCGCCGUAGCUAACGCUUUAAGUACCCCGCCUGGGGAGUACGGCCGCAAGGCUAAAACUCAAAGGAAUUGACGGGGCCCCGCACAAGCGGCGGAGCAUGCGGAUUAAUUCGAUGCAACGCGUAGAACCUUACCUGGGUUUGACAUGGAUCGGGAGUGCUCAGAGAUGGGUGUGCCUCUUUUGGGGUCGGUUCACAGGUGGUGCAUGGCUGUCGUCAGCUCGUGUCGUGAGAUGUUGGGUUAAGUCCCGCAACGAGCGCAACCCUUAAGCUUAGUUGCCAUCAUUAAGUUGGGCACUCUAAGUUGACUGCCGGUGACAAACCGGAGGAAGGUGGGGAUGACGUCAAAUCAUCAUGCCCCUUAUGAUUUGGGCUACACACGUGCUACAAUGGACAAUACAAAGGGUAGCGAAACCGCGAGGUCAAGCAAAUCCCAUAAAGUUGUUCUCAGUUCGGAUUGUAGUCUGCAACUCGACUAUAUGAAGCUGGAAUCGCUAGUAAUCGUAGAUCAGCAUGCUACGGUGAAUACGUUCCCGGGUCUUGUACACACCGCCCGUCACACCACGAGAGUUUGUAACACCCGAAGCCGGUGGAGUAACCAUUUGGAGCUAGCCGUCGAAGGUGGGACAAAUGAUUGGGGUGAAGUCGUAACAAGGUAACCAAGG
RNAcentral lists this ribosomal RNA (1521 nucleotides) under uncultured bacterium. Its description in RNAcentral is "partial 16S ribosomal RNA". It matches the Rfam family "Bacterial small subunit ribosomal RNA". The record is from RNAcentral.